CACACACCUUGCGCUCCGCGCAGUGUUGGGCGCAGCCUUCAAGGCUCGCCUCAAAUCCAGUGGCAGCACCUCAGAGCUCCUACGCGCAGUGAUCACCGCCGCCGGUGGAGUCCUGUGGGUGCUAGCUAGUCAACCCCCACUUGCUA
Molecule: unclassified non-coding RNA, 146 nt
Filed under: uncultured Rhytismataceae
Lineage: Eukaryota; Fungi; Ascomycota; Leotiomycetes; Rhytismatales; Rhytismataceae
Description: sequence contains ITS2
Source: RNAcentral